AGAGUUUGAUCCUGGCUCAGGACGAACGCUGGCGGCGUGCUUAACACAUGCAAGUCGAGCGGAAAGGCCCUUCGGGGUACUCGAGCGGCGAACGGGUGAGUAACACGUGAGCAACCUGCCCCUAGCUCUGGGAUAGCUCCGGGAAACCGGGAUUAAUACCGGAUAAGACCACUUUAGACAUCUGUUGUGGUGGAAAGGAUUCCGGCUAGGGAUGGGCUCGCGGCCUAUCAGCUUGUUGGUGGGGUAACGGCCUACCAAGGCGACGACGGGUAGCCGGCCUGAGAGGGCGACCGGCCACACUGGGACUGAGACACGGCCCAGACUCCUACGGGAGGCAGCAGUGGGGAAUAUUGCGCAAUGGGCGAAAGCCUGACGCAGCGACGCCGCGUGGGGGAUGAAGGCCUUCGGGUUGUAAACCUCUUUCAGCAGGGACGAAGCGAAAGUGACGGUACCUGCAGAAGAAGCGCCGGCUAACUACGUGCCAGCAGCCGCGGUAACACGUAGGGCGCAAGCGUUGUCCGGAAUUAUUGGGCGUAAAGAGCUCGUAGGCGGUCUGUUGCGUCCGCUGUGAAAACUCGGGGCUUAACCCCGAGCCUGCAGUGGAUACGGGGCAGACUAGAGGUAGGUAGGGGGAGAAUGGAAUUCCCGGUGUAGCGGUGAAAUGCGCAGAUAUCGGGAGGAACACCGGUGGCGAAGGCGGUUCUCUGGGCCUUACCUGACGCUGAGGAGCGAAAGCGUGGGGAGCGAACAGGAUUAGAUACCCCGGUAGUCC
This 772-nucleotide ribosomal RNA is filed under the name uncultured bacterium. Its description in RNAcentral is "bacterial SSU rRNA". It matches the Rfam family "Bacterial small subunit ribosomal RNA", at positions 8 to 796 of the family's 1533-position model. The record is from RNAcentral.